UAUCUCUUUCUCUCUCCCUCGUUCCUCCUAGUUCUCUUUCUCGUUCCUCCUAGUUGUAUCUCUUUCUCUCUCCCUCGUUCCUCCUAGUUGUAUCUCUUUCUCUCUCCCUCGUUCCUCCUAGUUUUGUCUCUUUCUCUCUCCCUCGUUCCUCCUAGUUGUCUCUUUCUCUCUCCCUCGUUCCUCCUAGUUGUCUCUCUUUCUCUCUCCCUCGUUCCUCCUAGUUGUCUCUUUCUCUCUCCCUCGUUCCUCCUAGUUGUAUCUCUUUCUCUCCCUCCUAGUUGUAUCUCUUUCUCUCUCCCUCGUUCCUCCUAGUUGUAUCUUUCUCUCUCCCUCGUUCCUCCUAGUUUUGUCUCUCUCUCUCCCUCGUUCCUCCUAGUUGUAUCUCUUUCUCUCUCCCUCGUUCCUCCUAGUUGUAUCUUUCUCUCUCCCUCGUUCCUCCUAGUUGUAUCUCUUUCUCUCUCCCUCGUUCCUCCUAGUUGUCUCUCUUUCUCUCUCCCUCGUUCCUCCUAGUUGUCUCUCUUUCUCUCUCCCUCGUUCCUCCUAGUUGUCUCUC
This 553-nucleotide long non-coding RNA is filed under the name Salmo salar (Atlantic salmon). Its description in RNAcentral is "lncRNA (ENSSSAG00000105844.1)". The record is from RNAcentral. Lineage: Eukaryota; Metazoa; Chordata; Actinopteri; Salmoniformes; Salmonidae.